AUGGACGUCGAUACUUCAAAUGUCGCAGCACAUGGGUUCGAGGUUGGGUUCAUUGAUCUUGACUACAACGCGCUCGAUUCAGGUGGACCGAUGCAGUUCUUGCUUGAGGAGAUGUGCCAUGGCAAUGUCGACAAUGCUGGUGCAUCUGGCAUUCAGGGAGUUGCUAGAAUUUCGAAGCUUGAUGUCACAUAUAACACAAUGAAUGAUCUUUACGGGAAGGCCAGGAAGAUCAAGGAUGCGAGCUGCCGCCGUCGCCUCCAGACACCCUUCAUCGAUCUCCGGCGCGCUGUCCUCCUCCAAGAGCCACCCUCUGUCCCCACCCUGACCGGCGGCGGCGGCGGCGGCGCAAGAGAGGCUGCUGUCAUCGAUCCGUCCGAUGAGCGCCUCGCCACCAUGUCCCUGCGCGAGCAGACGGCGCUGCUGUCGCGGCAGUGGCACUGGCGCCGCGCCCGCGAUCUGUUCGACCGCAUGCGCGCGCUCCCGGGGUACGCGCCUGUCACAUCCUGAUUUUUGUUUC
RNAcentral lists this long non-coding RNA (517 nucleotides) under Oryza sativa Indica Group (long-grained rice). RNAcentral describes it as "lncRNA OsMH63_03G005440". The record is from RNAcentral. Lineage: Eukaryota; Viridiplantae; Streptophyta; Magnoliopsida; Poales; Poaceae.